This 200-nucleotide long non-coding RNA is filed under the name Elaeis guineensis (African oil palm). RNAcentral describes it as "long non-coding RNA (EGUI_LNC004697)". The record is from RNAcentral. Lineage: Eukaryota; Viridiplantae; Streptophyta; Magnoliopsida; Arecales; Arecaceae.
CCCAUAGCUAUUUCAAUUCUUCUAUUAAAGGUUGUAAAUAGAAAUUAAUAUCAUUGUCUAGAUCUUUAUUAUCUGAAAUAAUCAUUAAUAAAAUAAGUAAAAAUUAUUUCAUACACAUCCAUGGUGGUAAAUUAUAAGGAAGCAAAAUAAUUAGCCUAGUACUGUAAGUAGAACUCAAGAUUUGAAAAUGGAUGGAAGCC